Molecule: ribosomal RNA, 2902 nt
Filed under: Escherichia coli
Lineage: Bacteria; Pseudomonadati; Pseudomonadota; Gammaproteobacteria; Enterobacterales; Enterobacteriaceae
Description: bacterial LSU rRNA
Rfam family: Bacterial large subunit ribosomal RNA
Source: RNAcentral
UUAAGCGACUAAGCGUACACGGUGGAUGCCCUGGCAGUCAGAGGCGAUGAAGGACGUGCUAAUCUGCGAUAAGCGUCGGUAAGGUGAUAUGAACCGUUAUAACCGGCGAUUUCCGAAUGGGGAAACCCAGUGUGAUUCGUCACACUAUCAUUAACUGAAUCCAUAGGUUAAUGAGGCGAACCGGGGGAACUGAAACAUCUAAGUACCCCGAGGAAAAGAAAUCAACCGAGAUUCCCCCAGUAGCGGCGAGCGAACGGGGAGGAGCCCAGAGUCUGAAUCAGUGUGUGUGUUAGUGGAAGCGUCUGGAAAGGCGCGCGAUACAGGGUGACAGCCCCGUACACAAAAAUGCACAUACUGUGAGCUCGAUGAGUAGGGCGGGACACGUGGUAUCCUGUCUGAAUAUGGGGGGACCAUCCUCCAAGGCUAAAUACUCCUGACUGACCGAUAGUGAACCAGUACCGUGAGGGAAAGGCGAAAAGAACCCCGGCGAGGGGAGUGAAAAAGAACCUGAAACCGUGUACGUACAAGCAGUGGGAGCACGCUUAGGCGUGUGACUGCGUACCUUUUGUAUAAUGGGUCAGCGACUUAUAUUCUGUAGCAAGGUUAACCGAAUAGGGGAGCCGAAGGGAAACCGAGUCUUAACUGGGCGUUAAGUUGCAGGGUAUAGACCCGAAACCCGGUGAUCUAGCCAUGGGCAGGUUGAAGGUUGGGUAACACUAACUGGAGGACCGAACCGACUAAUGUUGAAAAAUUAGCGGAUGACUUGUGGCUGGGGGUGAAAGGCCAAUCAAACCGGGAGAUAGCUGGUUCUCCCCGAAAGCUAUUUAGGUAGCGCCUCGUGAAUUCAUCUCCGGGGGUAGAGCACUGUUUCGGCAAGGGGGUCAUCCCGACUUACCAACCCGAUGCAAACUGCGAAUACCGGAGAAUGUUAUCACGGGAGACACACGGCGGGUGCUAACGUCCGUCGUGAAGAGGGAAACAACCCAGACCGCCAGCUAAGGUCCCAAAGUCAUGGUUAAGUGGGAAACGAUGUGGGAAGGCCCAGACAGCCAGGAUGUUGGCUUAGAAGCAGCCAUCAUUUAAAGAAAGCGUAAUAGCUCACUGGUCGAGUCGGCCUGCGCGGAAGAUGUAACGGGGCUAAACCAUGCACCGAAGCUGCGGCAGCGACGCUUAUGCGUUGUUGGGUAGGGGAGCGUUCUGUAAGCCUGUGAAGGUGUGCUGUGAGGCAUGCUGGAGGUAUCAGAAGUGCGAAUGCUGACAUAAGUAACGAUAAAGCGGGUGAAAAGCCCGCUCGCCGGAAGACCAAGGGUUCCUGUCCAACGUUAAUCGGGGCAGGGUGAGUCGACCCCUAAGGCGAGGCCGAAAGGCGUAGUCGAUGGGAAACAGGUUAAUAUUCCUGUACUUGGUGUUACUGCGAAGGGGGGACGGAGAAGGCUAUGUUGGCCGGGCGACGGUUGUCCCGGUUUAAGCGUGUAGGCUGGUUUUCCAGGCAAAUCCGGAAAAUCAAGGCUGAGGCGUGAUGACGAGGCACUACGGUGCUGAAGCAACAAAUGCCCUGCUUCCAGGAAAAGCCUCUAAGCAUCAGGUAACAUCAAAUCGUACCCCAAACCGACACAGGUGGUCAGGUAGAGAAUACCAAGGCGCUUGAGAGAACUCGGGUGAAGGAACUAGGCAAAAUGGUGCCGUAACUUCGGGAGAAGGCACGCUGAUAUGUAGGUGAAGUCCCUUGCGGAUGGAGCUGAAAUCAGUCGAAGAUACCAGCUGGCUGCAACUGUUUAUUAAAAACACAGCACUGUGCAAACACGAAAGUGGACGUAUACGGUGUGACGCCUGCCCGGUGCCGGAAGGUUAAUUGAUGGGGUCAGCGCAAGCGAAGCUCUUGAUCGAAGCCCCGGUAAACGGCGGCCGUAACUAUAACGGUCCUAAGGUAGCGAAAUUCCUUGUCGGGUAAGUUCCGACCUGCACGAAUGGCGUAAUGAUGGCCAGGCUGUCUCCACCCGAGACUCAGUGAAAUUGAACUCGCUGUGAAGAUGCAGUGUACCCGCGGCAAGACGGAAAGACCCCGUGAACCUUUACUAUAGCUUGACACUGAACAUUGAGCCUUGAUGUGUAGGAUAGGUGGGAGGCUUUGAAGUGUGGACGCCAGUCUGCAUGGAGCCGACCUUGAAAUACCACCCUUUAAUGUUUGAUGUUCUAACGUGGACCCGUGAUCCGGGUUGCGGACAGUGUCUGGUGGGUAGUUUGACUGGGGCGGUCUCCUCCUAAAGAGUAACGGAGGAGCACGAAGGUUGGCUAAUCCUGGUCGGACAUCAGGAGGUUAGUGCAAUGGCAUAAGCCAGCUUGACUGCGAGCGUGACGGCGCGAGCAGGUGCGAAAGCAGGUCAUAGUGAUCCGGUGGUUCUGAAUGGAAGGGCCAUCGCUCAACGGAUAAAAGGUACUCCGGGGAUAACAGGCUGAUACCGCCCAAGAGUUCAUAUCGACGGCGGUGUUUGGCACCUCGAUGUCGGCUCAUCACAUCCUGGGGCUGAAGUAGGUCCCAAGGGUAUGGCUGUUCGCCAUUUAAAGUGGUACGCGAGCUGGGUUUAGAACGUCGUGAGACAGUUCGGUCCCUAUCUGCCGUGGGCGCUGGAGAACUGAGGGGGGCUGCUCCUAGUACGAGAGGACCGGAGUGGACGCAUCACUGGUGUUCGGGUUGUCAUGCCAAUGGCACUGCCCGGUAGCUAAAUGCGGAAGAGAUAAGUGCUGAAAGCAUCUAAGCACGAAACUUGCCCCGAGAUGAGUUCUCCCUGACUCCUUGAGAGUCCUGAAGGAACGUUGAAGACGACGACGUUGAUAGGCCGGGUGUGUAAGCGCAGCGAUGCGUUGAGCUAACCGGUACUAAUGAACCGUGAGGCUUAACCUU